ACGUUAAUUUGCUUGUGACUGAUGACUUUGUCUAUUUCCUCACAUGCAAAUGAUUCUCCCUCUCCUCUUUCUGUUUUUCUCUCUUUCUCUGUUUUUUUGCGUAUACUUUUUGCAUGUUUAGACCAUCUCUCUACCGACCUUUCAGUGGCUCAGCAUUUUGUUGCAAUGCAUGAGUGAAGCUGGAAAACAGAGCCAAGUGACAAACUGUGAAGCAACAGCUCAGCCUCACAGAGCAAGUGUGCUUUGUGCUAUUUCUGGCCAGAGCAGAUGUGGCCUUGAUGGACUGUAAGGAACAAUAUCUGUCAGGUAAAAAUAAGUUACUAAGAUUAACACCAAAAUGAUGUAAAUCCUUCAUUUGCAGACAGAUCCUGAAUUGGGAGCCAUGUGGAAAGAAGACUGGAUUGGACAUCAGAUUCAGGGUCCUGCUUGGGUUUCUUCCAGAUGACCCCACCAAUCAGCCAUCCGGUCUCAGAUUCCACAUAUGAGUGAGAUCAUAUGAUAUUCAUCAUUCUGUGUCUGACUUUCUGCAACAUGGAUUGACCUAGAGAUUAUCAUACUAAGUGAAGGGGAAUGCCUGGCUUUCUCCUCACUUCUUUGCAUUUUUCCAGUGCCUUUGAUUUUGAAAGCACUGCCAGAAUGAUGGCUGCAUUUUCAGUGGUGGAAAUUAUUGCUAUGUCUCAGAAGCAAGGAAUCACAGGAUAUCUACUUUCCAGUGGUGAUAUAUGACUCUCAUAAGUGAAAGCCACACCAUCAUAACACCCUAAUGAGUUUUUUUCAUAGAAACAGAACAGAGAUUCCUAAUGUUUCUUGCAACUUCCCAAAGAAAAGGGAAAGAAGAAAAAAUUCAACUACAUGCCCGUUUGUUAGCCCAGCAUUGGAAGGGAACAAGCUUAAAG
This is a long non-coding RNA of Balaenoptera acutorostrata (minke whale), 896 nucleotides long. RefSeq lists it as uncharacterized. The transcript is spliced from 3 exons. The record is from RefSeq and is a predicted model, not a curated record. NCBI's taxonomy places the organism in Eukaryota, Metazoa, Chordata, Mammalia, Artiodactyla, Balaenopteridae.